CGCUAGCGGCAGGCUUAACACAUGCAAGUCGAGGGGCAGCAUGAGACGGAGAUUCGUCGAAGUCUUGAUGGCGACCGGCGCAAGGGUGCGUAACGCGUGAGCAACUUGCCCGUUUCAGGGGAUAACCGUUGGAAACGACGACUAAUACCCCAUAGUAUCGUGAAGAGGCAUCUCUUUAUGAUUAAAGAAUUUCGGAAACGGAUAGGCUCGCGUGACAUUAGCUAGAUGGAGAGGUAACGGCUCACCAUGGCGACGAUGUCUAGGGGAACUGAGAGGUUAAUCCCCCACACUGGUACUGAGACACGGACCAGACUCCUACGGGAGGCAGCAGUGAGGAAUAUUGGACAAUGGAUGGAAAUCUGAUCCAGCCAUGCCGCGUGCAGGAUGACGGCCCUAUGGGUCUUAAACUGCUUUUGUACGGGAGCAAUAAGUUUCACGUGUGGAAUGAUGAGAGUACCGUACGAAUAAGCAUCGGCUAACUCCGUG
This 486-nucleotide ribosomal RNA is filed under the name uncultured bacterium. Its description in RNAcentral is "bacterial SSU rRNA". It matches the Rfam family "Bacterial small subunit ribosomal RNA", at positions 34 to 507 of the family's 1533-position model. The record is from RNAcentral.